GCUCAACUCCAGGGCAUCAGUAGAAGGAUGAUUGGAAUGGUGAGAAGCGUAUCGAAAUUUCCUACCUAUAGAAGGCGAUUUCGCCAAGUAGUGAAGGCAUUGAUAACAUAUUCUACAGACAAGGAGGGUGCUGUGAGAUCAAAUUCUGUGAAAUCCAAUUCCAUUAGAUCAGUUGCCUGUAUUGAAGAUGUAGUGUGAAGUUCAGCAUUGUUGUAUGGAAGCUCAUAGCUAGUUUGUGAAUUGCUCUGAGGUUAUUUAUCCACGUUAACUCCUGUUGAAGUAUAUGUCAACAGAAAUGCUUCACUGACACUGAAGAAUUAUCCAGUUCUAUGUUGCAUGUAAUUGCUCUGAGAAUGAAGUUUA
Molecule: unclassified non-coding RNA, 363 nt
Filed under: Hevea brasiliensis (rubber tree)
Lineage: Eukaryota; Viridiplantae; Streptophyta; Magnoliopsida; Malpighiales; Euphorbiaceae
Source: RNAcentral